RNAcentral lists this long non-coding RNA (944 nucleotides) under Brassica napus (rape). Its description in RNAcentral is "long non-coding RNA (BNAP_LNC006380)". Lineage: Eukaryota; Viridiplantae; Streptophyta; Magnoliopsida; Brassicales; Brassicaceae. The record is from RNAcentral.
GGCUACUGGGUGUUUUAUGUAUAGGUGUGACUGUUUUGAAGACAGAAAUCUCAUGUGACACAUGUAUGGCUAUCGUAUGCGAUGUGACAUUUACAAUUGAUACUCGUACAAGGUGAUUUUUGGAAUCUUAUUCAACAACAAAAGAAAAAUAAUGUUUUUGGAAUUGUAAUGCUUUUUUAGACGUUUCUGAUCAUGUCGUACACGGUGAUUUGUAUCCCUCUUAACGUUUUGUUUUUUUGAAGGUGAAAAUGAUUAAUGGAUACACUUUGAAUCUAUCAAGUCUUGAUCCAACAGCUAUCAGACCUCCUAUUUUCGUAUCGCCAUUAAUGAUAUAGACAAGCUGUACAACUCUCCUUUUUUGUAUUCUUCAAGGAGAACACCGGUUAAGAAAUUACUGGUCAACAAAUACAUCGGGCUAAUGAAGAUUUAUUGAUUUUGGCAUUUUGAGGAGAUUUCUUGAAACAAUGAAGAAAACAAGUACAAGUGUGACGUAUCAUAAAAAAAAAAAUGUAUGACGUAUCAUUAGUUAUGGCAACAACAUGAAGAAUAUCCGUGUCAAAUGAUUUGAGGUACGGUUCUGCAUUUAGAAACUUGGGACCGCAUGCCUCACACGUAUAGUCUAUUCUCUAUAAACUUGGGACCGCAUGGCUCACGUGGAGUUUAAUUCCACGUAACAGUUAGGCCAUACGCAUUAGAAGUUUAAAGGAAAGUAUCACACGUUUUACGAGGAAAAAAAUAUAUUAAAAAAAGCAAAAGCGGUGAACUCGGUUCGUCUCGCCUCUCCUGCGUGAUACCUUCUCUCUUAAAGUUCAUCACUGUAGCGCGGGCCCCACAACACGUGGCGGCCCGCGAUUGAUCAAUUUUUUUUUUUUAAAUCGAAAAAAAAAAUUUAAUAAUAAAAAAUUAAGAAGAUGAACCCCAAAAGGGGUUCACUGAUGCUCUUG